AACCUGCGGAAGGAUCAUUG
This 20-nucleotide non-coding RNA is filed under the name Chlamydomonas reinhardtii. The record is from RNAcentral. Lineage: Eukaryota; Viridiplantae; Chlorophyta; Chlorophyceae; Chlamydomonadales; Chlamydomonadaceae. RNAcentral also lists the same sequence under 172 other names.